RNAcentral lists this long non-coding RNA (1104 nucleotides) under Salmo salar (Atlantic salmon). Its description in RNAcentral is "lncRNA (ENSSSAG00000084021.1)". The record is from RNAcentral. Lineage: Eukaryota; Metazoa; Chordata; Actinopteri; Salmoniformes; Salmonidae.
AGAACAACAGACAGUGGAAGGUUCUCCAGAGAACAACAGACAGAGGAAGGUUCUCCUCAGAACAACAGACAGAGGAAGGUUCUCCAGAGAACAACAGACAGAGGAAGGUUCUCCUCAGAACAACAGACAGAGGAAGGUUCUCCUCAGAACAACAGACAGAGGAAGGUUCUCCAGAGAACAACAGACAGAGGAAGGUUCUCCUCAGAACAACAGAGAGUGGAAGGUUCUCCAGAGAACAACAGACAGAGGAAGGUUCUCCUCAGAACAACAGUCAGAGGAAGGUUCUCCAGAGAACAACAGACAGAGGAAGGUUCUCCUCAGAACAACAGACAGAGGAAGGUUCUCCUCAGAACAACAGACAGUGGAAGGUUCUCCAGAGAACAACAGACAGAGGAAGGUUCUCCUCAGAACAACAGACAGAGGAAGGUUCUCCUCAGAACAACAGUCAGAGGAAGGUUCUCCAGAGAACAACAGUCAGAGGAAGGUUCUCCAGAGAACAACAGUCAGAGGAAGGUUCUCCUCAGAACAACAGACAGAGGAAGGUUCUCCUCAGAACAACAGACAGAGGAAGGUUCUCCUCAGAACAACAGACAGAGGAAGGUUCUCAUCAGAACAACAGACAGAGGAAGGUUCUCCUCAGGACAACAGACAGAGGAAGGUUCUCCAGAGAACAACAGACAGAGGAAGGUUCUCAUCAGAACAACAGACAGAGGAAGGUUCUCCUCAGAACAACAGACAGAGGAAGGUUCUCCUCAGAACAACAGACACAGGAAGUGGUUUGAUUUUAAUUAAGGAAAGACACUAUCUGCAUCUCUUACUUUCUCUCUCUUUUUUUUUAAUAGAAAUCAUUUUUUGCACAAUAUGAAAAAAUGUUCCUCACAUCUAAGACGAACUAACAUGGUAAAGGAAGUAAAGAAAGGAAGGAGAAGCAUUCAGCAUGGUGGUGUAUAAAUGAGUCUGAUCAGUAAAGACAGACUUCAUCACAGUAGGCAAUGGGAUGGAGACUGGUCCAGGGUCCUUUGUCUUGGGAAUGUCCACGGUAUUUAGCUGUGGGGGAAAUGAGGGAUUGAUAUGAGUUUCAUUUGUUGUUUUGUGAAGUUAUAA